This 742-nucleotide ribosomal RNA is filed under the name Salmonella enterica. RNAcentral describes it as "partial 23S ribosomal RNA". It matches the Rfam family "Bacterial large subunit ribosomal RNA", at positions 2061 to 2802 of the family's 2925-position model. The record is from RNAcentral. Lineage: Bacteria; Pseudomonadati; Pseudomonadota; Gammaproteobacteria; Enterobacterales; Enterobacteriaceae. RNAcentral also lists the same sequence under 1 other name.
GCAGUGUACCCGCGGCAAGACGGAAAGACCCCGUGAACCUUUACUAUAGCUUGACACUGAACAUUGAGCCUUGAUGUGUAGGAUAGGUGGGAGGCUUUGAAGCGUGGACGCCAGUCUGCGUGGAGCCGACCUUGAAAUACCACCCUUUAAUGUUUGAUGUUCUAACGUGGACCCGUGAUCCGGGUUGCGGACAGUGUCUGGUGGGUAGUUUGACUGGGGCGGUCUCCUCCUAAAGAGUAACGGAGGAGCACGAAGGUUGGCUAAUCCUGGUCGGACAUCAGGAGGUUAGUGCAAUGGCAUAAGCCAGCUUGACUGCGAGCGUGACGGCGCGAGCAGGUGCGAAAGCAGGUCAUAGUGAUCCGGUGGUUCUGAAUGGAAGGGCCAUCGCUCAACGGAUAAAAGGUACUCCGGGGAUAACAGGCUGAUACCGCCCAAGAGUUCAUAUCGACGGCGGUGUUUGGCACCUCGAUGUCGGCUCAUCACAUCCUGGGGCUGAAGUAGGUCCCAAGGGUAUGGCUGUUCGCCAUUUAAAGUGGUACGCGAGCUGGGUUUAGAACGUCGUGAGACAGUUCGGUCCCUAUCUGCCGUGGGCGCUGGAGAACUGAGGGGGGCUGCUCCUAGUACGAGAGGACCGGAGUGGACGCAUCACUGGUGUUCGGGUUGUCAUGCCAAUGGCACUGCCCGGUAGCUAAAUGCGGAAGAGAUAAGUGCUGAAAGCAUCUAAGCACGAAACUUGCCCCGA